UACGGGGGGGGUAAGCGUUGUUCGGAAUUACUGGGCGUAAAGGGCUCGUAGGCGGCCAACUAAGUCAGACGUGAAAUCCCUCGGCUUAACCUGGGAACUGCGUCUGAUACUGGACGGCUUGAGUAUGGGAGAGGGAUGUAGAAUUCCAGGUGUAGCGGUGAAAUGCGUAGAUAUCUGGAGGAAUACCGGUGGCGAAGGCGGCAUCCUGGACCAUUACUGACGCUGAUGCGCGAAAGCUAGGGGAGCAAACGGG
This 253-nucleotide ribosomal RNA is filed under the name uncultured bacterium. Its description in RNAcentral is "partial 16S ribosomal RNA". It matches the Rfam family "Bacterial small subunit ribosomal RNA", at positions 524 to 776 of the family's 1533-position model. The record is from RNAcentral.